Molecule: long non-coding RNA, 1917 nt
Organism: Solea solea (common sole)
Lineage: Eukaryota; Metazoa; Chordata; Actinopteri; Pleuronectiformes; Soleidae
Exons: 4
Source: RefSeq, a predicted model, not a curated record
UUUUUUUUUUUGUUUUUUUUUUUUUUUAAAUAGUCCAGCCCUCUAAUUAUUACAACUGGUGUUGGAAUUACAUUGGAAUGGUGUCAUGGACUCGGGACAUAAAUGUAGUUCUCAUGUAUUUGAUCUUGUGGUGAGGACAUGAUCAUUGUCCACAUCCAGUCACAGGACUCGGCUUACAGCGGUAGCCACGGCGGUGUGAUUUUAAUGUUUAUGGCUCAACCGGCUUCAUAUUUAGACAGAGCUUACAGGGUGUUAAAAUAGUGUGAGUUCACUCUCACACGAACAGUGCCCACAUUGUGAAAAGGCCGUGUACAAGGCGUAGCAUCUAGACUCCACUUAAUCCGCCCUCAGUAAAGCUGACAUAAUGAUCCUAAGCCGCCUUUUUACAAAAUCAUUCAGGAAUUCAAAACUUUUCUUUCCCUUUUUUUCAGAUUUGCACAUUCUCUGGGGCCGGACUGAUGGACCGGCGACUCCAGGCUUGGAGCGACAUCUGUUCCAGUGAGAUGAGCAAAUAAACAAAGCUGGAUGUUACGUCAUGGACGAGAGAGUGAGAGAGAGAGAGAGAGAGAGAGGACCGGAUGAGAUGGAAGAAAGAAAAAGGUGUUGGCUGUAAAAGAGGCUGGUCAGAAAAGGCACCUCCUGCAGUCACAGCAGAGACUCCUGCGCCUGCUGCUCCAUCCUGAUUCACCGCAGCAGACUUUGGAGAGAUGAUGGAAAUGUGAGCAGGUCUCGGUCCACGCUCUGUCACGGACCAUUCCAGCUUGAGACACUGGUCCAUUCACUGCAGGUCAAUAUGUCCAAUCAAGACCAGGAGUAACAUCCAGCACCUGCUUCUGUAAGUUCCGUCCACGCAGUCCCGUGUCCACAUCUGCUGCUCAGUAAACGAGGCGAUUUUUUUUGUGUUUGUCGGACACAAGAAAAAAAAACUCCCAUGUCUUUCUUCUCUUUCUCUGUCACUUAAUCCGCUAAAGUUAAUUUGUCACAAGUGCAUUUUUUUUAAUUCGCGGAGCAGCGGGGAGAUGUGUGCCUUUGCACAGCAGAUGUCAGAUGCUGUCGGGACUGAGCGCACAACGCGCUCCGUACCACGCUGGCCAUGCCUGUGUGCCAGAUCUAUACACUGUAAAAAAUAUCGAUCUGAACAAGUCAUUGAAUGUGGGCCUUGCAUUUUACGAGUCUUUAUGUUUCUUAGAAUUAAAAAAAACAGUAACAACACAGAAACGUGUUGUGAUUAUUUCAUUAUGUUUCUAUUACAACUUGUUUUUAUGAAAAGUUAGAAUCAGUUUACUUUUUGAAAAUAGUAACAUAAAUUACCAAUAUGAUACCAAUGUGUUUUUAUGCGUAAAAAUGCGUAAAAAUCACCGCAUCAGAGCACAAGCAAUACAUACAUAUAUAAGUAAAAAAAAUAGUAAAACAAUUUAGUAAAAAAAUUAACCUGAAAAUGAAGUUGAUAUUUUUGCAGUGUACCUUCUCUCUUGCUCUCGAGGACAGAGCCGCUGCCGAGACGAUGUUGUUUUAAUUUACAAACCUUUCUUUCUUUGGCUAAAACAACACGUUCCAAUAUAAUUCUGGUUUAUUUUUGAUUGAAUGACAAACUCAAAACAACUGAUAGUGAACUUACUCAGUCACGUGAGCAGUAGGUCAGUCCACCCCCAGAGCACAGAGCGUGCAUUUACACAAACAUGAAGUAAAUACAACAGUGAGAAAAAGAUAGAAAAUAAAGUAACGGGUGCAAUUUAUUGUGAUAAUGUUGGGUGAAUGUGGCGCCAACCUUAACAGCAAAGCUUGUACAAAAGUUUUUUAACCUCUCUCUCUCUCUCUCUCUCUCUCUCUCUCUCUCUCUCUCUCUCUCUCUCUCUCUCUCUCUCUCCCUCUCCCCCUCUACCUCUCUCUCCUCUCUUUUGUUGUUUUUAUUGUGUG